GAAGACUUCUUAUUGUAGAAGCCCCGCUGCUGGAGAAGCUCGAUCAUUGACGAAGUCUGAAAGGAGUUCGGAGUAGAGAUCCAAUUGGUGGAGCCUGUCCGUUGUAGGAGUUCAUCUGUGAUCCGUCCACUAUGGAAGUUCGGAUGGAGUCCGACUCUUGUAGGAGCUCGAAUGAAGUCCACUUGCAAUAAAAGUUCAGGGUAGAGAUCCAAUUUUUGUAGGAGCUCGGGUGAAAUCCAGAAGGUGGUCGACCGUCAUAGAAACUUGGAUGGAGUCUAGUUACCAUAGAAGUCCUGCUGUUAGAGAAGCUUGAACAUUGGCGAAGUCUGGAAGAAGUUCGGAGUAAAGUCGUUUGUGGCCGGAAGA
RNAcentral lists this long non-coding RNA (366 nucleotides) under Elaeis guineensis (African oil palm). Its description in RNAcentral is "long non-coding RNA (EGUI_LNC023097)". Lineage: Eukaryota; Viridiplantae; Streptophyta; Magnoliopsida; Arecales; Arecaceae. The record is from RNAcentral.